RNAcentral lists this ribosomal RNA (253 nucleotides) under uncultured bacterium. Its description in RNAcentral is "partial 16S ribosomal RNA". It matches the Rfam family "Bacterial small subunit ribosomal RNA", at positions 524 to 776 of the family's 1533-position model. The record is from RNAcentral.
UACAGAGGUCUCAAGCGUUGUUCGGAUUCAUUGGGCGUAAAGGGUGCGUAGGUGGCUGGGUAAGUCAGGUGUGAAAUCUCGGAGCUCAACUCCGAAACUGCACUUGAUACUGCCUGGCUCGAGUACUGGAGAGGAGAUUGGAAUUUACGGUGUAGCAGUGAAAUGCGUAGAUAUCGUAAGGAAGACCAGUGGCGAAGGCGAAUCUCUGGACAGUUACUGACACUGAGGCACGAAGGCCAGGGGAGCAAACGGG